UAGAAGCAGGGCAGUUGCAGCAGCCUGCUGGAUACUUUGCCACAGAGAGCAGAGGCCGCCUGCCUCCCGGCUGGUUGAGACACGGGCAAGAACAAGUCAGCCCUGCUCAAUUCAGAAAGCUGGGAUGCAGUUUGGAAUCAGCAUGAUGGCCCAUUAAGGACCAUCUGCUACACAACUGACCCAUUGAGAGAAGGCAAGGGAUACACAUGAUGACUCAGCACGGCAGGCAGGUGCAUGGACAGAACUCUGAGGCUUCCAGGCCAUGUACUGAGCAGCUUGUGUUUGGGACAAAGGUAGUAUAAGCCGCAUGGCAAAAGUCUAUAAAAGGCCGCUGCAUCUUCUCCAUUUUGUCUUCAGUCCUGCUUCUUGUCUUUAUUCCUGCUUCUUACCUCUGGAGUAACCGUUCUACAAACGAAGCUCUGAACAAAGGACUGAAAGAUCCAUCCAAGCUGUGAAUGUUUUCCAGAGGGACUUUCAAGCCAGCAAACUCACCAACACUGCUAGGAACCUGAUGGACUUUGAAGGCUUUGUAUGUGACUGUUUUACCAUUUACCAUCUCUCUUCUUGGUCUUUCUUUUUUCUUGAUAAUAAAGCUUUAGUUUUAGACAUUAAA
Trachemys scripta elegans is the source of this 613-nucleotide long non-coding RNA. RefSeq lists it as uncharacterized. Lineage: Eukaryota; Metazoa; Chordata; Testudines; Emydidae. The transcript is spliced from 2 exons. The record is from RefSeq and is a predicted model, not a curated record.